UCGUCAGCUCGUGUCGUGAGAUGUGGGUUAAGUCCCGCAACGAGCGCAACCCUUAUGACUAGUUGCCAGCAUUCAGUUGGGCACUCUAGUGAGACUGCCGGUGACAAACCGGAGGAAGGUGGGGACGACGUCAAAUCAUCAUGCCCCUUAUGACCUGGGCUACACACGUGCUACAAUGGAUGGUACAACGAGUCGCGAAACCGCGAGGUUUAGCUAAUCUCUUAAAACCAUUCUCAGUUCGGACUGUAGGCUGCAACUCGCCUACACGAAGUCGGAAUCGCUAGUAAUCGCGGAUCAGCAUGCCGCGGUGAAUACGUUCCCGGGCCUUGUACACACCGCCCGUCACACCAUGAGAGUU
RNAcentral lists this ribosomal RNA (358 nucleotides) under Pediococcus acidilactici. RNAcentral describes it as "bacterial SSU rRNA". It matches the Rfam family "Bacterial small subunit ribosomal RNA", at positions 1052 to 1412 of the family's 1533-position model. The record is from RNAcentral. Lineage: Bacteria; Bacillati; Bacillota; Bacilli; Lactobacillales; Lactobacillaceae.